UUUUUUUUUUUUUUUUUUUUUUUUUUUGUCUUUUUGCCAUUUCUUGGGCCGCUCCCGCGACAUAUGGAGGUUCCCAGGCUAGGGAUCUAAUUGGAGCUGUAGCCACCGGCCUACGCCAGAGCCAUAGCAACGCAGGAUCUGAGCCGCAUCUGUGACCUACACCACAGCUCACGGCAAUGCCAGAUCCUUAACCCACUGAGCAAGGCCAGGGAUCGAACCUACAACCUCAUGGUUCCUAGUCGGAUUCGUUAACCACUGCGCCACGACGGGAACUCCAAGAGUAUUUUUUUUUUAAAGAGGUAACAUUCUGAAAUAUUUACAGAUGAAAUGACAUGAUGUCUGGUAUUAGCUUCAAAAUUUUGUACAUUUGAAAUUUUUCAUAAAUGUUAAAAUUAAAGGAAAAAAAGGAGACCACACAGACUAUGUAUGGGUGCAUCACUUUCCAAAGCUGAAUUUGCAACCAUUAAACAUCUGUAUAUUUUCAUCUACUGGACUCAUUAGAAACAAGAACUUGCUUAUUCUCUCCUAAGAAACAGCUACACUUCAUAGGAACUACAGGACUGCUGAUUUAAAGUCUCUGUAUCCUUGACCAGUGCUCAUGACACACUCUCAUUAUGUGGUAAGAAAACUGGGUCAAUAAGCCCAAAAUGGGCUUGCUCUGUGCCCUCCGUAGAAGCUGAAGGAACUGCAGAGUUUAAAACUCUAUUUUAUCUCCUCUGGUCUUCUGGGAAGGGGUGAAGCAGAAUCUCAUGGUGAAACCGCAGGAUACAAACACACGAAGAUGGACUAUCCAGUGUGCCUGGCACCAGAGUGAAAAUGAUUGACAAGAGAGAUCCAAUCCCGCCCUCAGCGGAAACAGACUAAUCAACAUUCACGUACAAUAAAGUAUUACCAGUGCUAUGGUAGGAGACGUACAAGAUGCUGCGGGACACAAAUAGGGGCACCUGCCUCUGACCAGUGUCGGGGAAGGCAGCGUGGACGGCCCCCUGGAAGAAGCAGCCUGCAGUCUCCUGCUGGGCUUGGAGGAAGUCUGUACUCAGGGCGCCAAGUGCGCACCAGAGGCUGGGAUGAGCUGCUACACUGACAACUGGAGCAUGAAGUUAAAAUCUGCACCAGAAGGUGAGAUGCUUUCCCCUCAACCUGCUCUACCCACCCUACCUGCCAAGAGAAGAUUAGCAGCCAAGCUCAGAUGCCUGGGAGUCCCUCCAAUGGAACACGUGGGUUCCUUAUGGUGAACCCCACUAGUCCUCAAGGCUCAUUCACCAACUUCUAGUCAGUCAAGAGCACCACAAACUGGAGAGAAAAAAACCUCCAGCCUGAAAAGACAAAGCCCUAAACAAACAAAAUGGCAUUUGGGGAGUUCCCGUCAUGGCGCAGUGGUUAACGAAUCCGACUAGGAACCAUGAGGUUGCAGGUUCGGUCCCUGCCCUUGCUCAGUGGGUUAACGAUCCGGCGUUGCCAUGAGCUGUGGGGGUUUCAAAAGACUUUGGAUGGCUGCAAAUGACAAAUGGCCACUAUAAUAUUCCUGAUAACCAGAGCCCUUUGUAUGUAAUGUGAAGAUGACUUUGGAAAUGCAUAGCUGUACUGGGUGAGAGGUGAUCAUCCUGAAGGUGAGAGAGAGAACAAAAAUAACAGAAGGCCAAAAGAGCUAGUGUUCUAGCACAUGUGCAUAGGCAGUGCAGACAUCUUUAACUAGCAUUUGUAGAGCCUUCCACAGGCUGUGAUAAGGAAUUAGGGUAAAAUUUUGAAAGCUCCAGGGAAUGGGAAACCGAGAACAUUUAAAAACACUUGUUAAUUGAUUUUAAAAUAAUAAUAAACAAUCAUAUGUUAACAGAAACAGCUUUUAUGAAAAGUAACUAUAUUCCCCCCUCUCCAAAUAAUGAGAAGAGUAGCACAGUUUUACAUUUUUGCAUUAACAGAACACAGCUGGCUUCUCACAGUUGCUUCUGCAUUUGGGCUUUUGUAGUAUCACACAUGAGUAUACACUUAUGAAAGAAUGAGAGUAAAAAAAGCAUGUAAGUCUGCGUAUCAUUACAAAAAUAAUUUUCACCUCACAGACUCCUUGAAAGAGUCUCAGGGGUCCCUCUGGGUCCUUGGACUACACUUUGAGAACUGCUGAUCUAAUGAAAAUUCUAACUGUACUGGGAGAGGUAGGAACAGGGAGUGUGCAUUGAAAUGCAUAGCGCUAAACCAGCAGAAUUACAGGGAGAAAUUAACAAACUCAUGAAAAACAAAAUUCUUAUCUCUAACCAAGGGGAAGUCAAUAGAUAAUGCCUAAACUGAAAAAUUAAGUUUCUCCAAGCAUAGCUGUUCAUACAUGUAUGUACCUAUCAAAAGAAUUAGCUAAGAGCUGGAAGUGGGAGUCUGGGGGAAGAGAAAAUGGGGAGCAGGGAGGCCAGGGGCUGGUGUUUAUCUCAACAAAUCUUGAGGAACUAUUUAAUUCUUUAAGUGAUAUGCACUUAGCAAACUACCUAUAUAUCUUUGAUAAAAUUUCUUCUUAAAAAUGUAAAAAGAAAGAGAGCCUGAAUAGACCAUAACCCCCAAAACCCCACACACCAUUAGAAAAAGUUGCCAAAGAAUUACUUCCCCCUAGAAAGGCAUCAACACCAAAUAGUUUUACAGGAACUAUCUACUGAAUUCUAUGGAAAAGAUAAUUCCUAUAUUAUAUAAACCAUUUUAGAACAGCAAGCUUCCUAUGAAGCAAUUUUAAAAUAAAUAGUUAUUCUAUCACAGGCCAGACAAUGCAAUUAAAUACAAGAAAUAUUGACCAAUCUUUCUGAAUGGAUUGGGGAGGAUGAGUUAUACAUAGAGAAGAGCAACCUACUGCUUUGAGUGUACUGACUGACUUUUUUUCCCUUUGGCUUUGUCCAGAGCAUGCAAAAAUUCCUGGACCAGGGACUG
This 2901-nucleotide long non-coding RNA is filed under the name Sus scrofa (pig). RNAcentral describes it as "lncRNA (ENSSSCG00005015349.1)". Lineage: Eukaryota; Metazoa; Chordata; Mammalia; Artiodactyla; Suidae. The record is from RNAcentral.